GACGAACGCUGGCGGCGUGCUUAACACAUGCAAGUCGAACGGAAAGGCCCUGCUUUUGUGGGGUGCUCGAGUGGCGAACGGGUGAGUAACACGUGAGUAACCUGCCCUUGACUUUGGGAUAACUUCAGGAAACUGGGGCUAAUACCGGAUAGGAGCUCCUGCUGCAUGGUGGGGGUUGGAAAGUUUCGGCGGUUGGGGAUGGACUCGCGGCUUAUCAGCCUGUUGGUGGGGUAGUGGCUUACCAAGGCUUUGACGGGUAGCCGGCCUGAGAGGGUGACCGGCCACAUUGGGACUGAGAUACGGCCCAGACUCCUACGGGAGGCAGCAGUGGGGAAUAUUGCACAAUGGGCGGAAGCCUGAUGCAGCAACGCCGCGUGCGGGAUGACGGCCUUCGGGUUGUAAACCGCUUUCGCCUGUGACGAGGCGUGAGUGACGGUAAUGGGUAAAGAAGCACCGGCUAACUACGUG
This 468-nucleotide ribosomal RNA is filed under the name uncultured bacterium. RNAcentral describes it as "partial 16S ribosomal RNA". It matches the Rfam family "Bacterial small subunit ribosomal RNA", at positions 28 to 507 of the family's 1533-position model. The record is from RNAcentral.